GACGAACGCUGGCGGCAUGCCUAAUACAUGUAAGUCGAGCGAACAGAUGAAGUGCUUGCACUUCUGACGUUAGCGGCGAACGGGUGAGUAACACGUAAGGAAUCUACCUAUAAGCGGGGGAUAACAUUCGGAAACGGGUGCUAAUACCGCAUAAUAUCUUCUUCCGCAUGGAAGAAGAUUGAAAGACGGCUCUGCUGUCACUUAUAGAUGACCUUGCGGUGCAUUAGUUAGUUGGUGGGGUAACGGCCUACCCAGACGAUGAUGCAUAGCCGACCUGGGAGGGUGAUCGGCCACAUUGUGACUGAGACACGGCCCAAACUCCGACGGGAGGCAGCAGUAGGAAAUCUUCCGCAAUGGGCGAAAGCCUGACGGAGCAAUGCCGCGUGAGUGAAGAAGGCCUUCGGGUCGUAAAACUCUGUUAUAAGAGAAGAACAAAUUGUAGAGUAACUGCUACAGUCUUGACGGUAUCUUAUCAGAAAGCCACGGCUAACUACGUGCCAGCCGCCGCAGUAA
Molecule: ribosomal RNA, 513 nt
Filed under: uncultured bacterium
Lineage: Bacteria
Description: partial 16S ribosomal RNA
Rfam family: Bacterial small subunit ribosomal RNA
Source: RNAcentral